Molecule: long non-coding RNA, 1080 nt
Organism: Helianthus annuus (common sunflower)
Lineage: Eukaryota; Viridiplantae; Streptophyta; Magnoliopsida; Asterales; Asteraceae
Exons: 2
Source: RefSeq, a predicted model, not a curated record
CCUUCCCUCUUUAUCCCUCUGUAUUCAUUCCACUUUGAGCUAGGUUUCAAAAAACCCAAAACAACACUUCUGAAUCUCACUUUCUGACUGAAACACAUAUCACACAGUCACGUCUUUGCAUAAAAAUCCAAUUCCUAUUCAAGAAACACAAAUCUCUCACAAGAAACACAGAUCCUACGGUUGUGGUUGAUUUUUAGCUAUUGAAGGAAGGGGUGCUGUUGAUUCCGGCGUAAUUAAGUCGGAGCAAACACUUUAACCGACAAACAAUCAGCAGACAUACGUGUCUGCCUGGCCCACCAUGGUGCGGUCCGAGCUAGCGAGCUGAUCCAACCACGAGACGAGUUGAGAAGCACUAUGACCCAAAUCAAAAGCGACGUCCACGCAAUUGGUAAAAAAUGUCAGAAAACUCCACCGUCAAGGAAAAAACCAAACCAACUCCGUCACCAAGGCAAUGGUGUUAGCUGCCAUCGCCCUUGCUGCUAUUUUUACGGUUCCCGGUGGGUACAACGAUGAUGGGCUGGCGGUAGUGGCCGACUUGACGUCAAUCAAAAUCUUCUAUCUUUUCAACGCGAUGGCUCUUUAUACGUCUUUAGCGGUUGUGGUGAUUCAUAUGACGUUGGGAAUUAGAGGUGAGAAGAAAGCCAAAAAAGACAAGUGGUUUGCACUUCGGUGGCUUUUAUGGCAUCAUCUUAUAUAGUGGCGGGUCGGAAGCAUGAGUGGGUUGUCGUUUCUAUUACUGUGCUUGGUGGGGCUAUAAUGUUGGUGGUGGUUGGAUUGAUUAUGUGCUAUGUGGGUGAAUGGAAGAUAAUGCGGUCAUUGGGAAGGUUGGAGAAGAUUGCAAAAAAAAAAAGAUGGACAAAUUCAAGCAAAAACUAGAAGCAUUCAAGUAUGAGAUGAUUUGAGUUAUGCCACUAUGUUCUAUGCCACUGUUUAUGCUACUGUUUCAGAAUAUGUUGCUUUGACUACUUGACUCCUUACUAUGUUAAUGUCUUAUUAACCUUUAACAUUAUGAUUAUGACUUCCUUAGUAUUGUUAUCAACUUCUAUAUCUUGAUUAAUACAUUAUCAUCUUUUAGAGAUU